GCGGAUCGAUGGGAGCUUGCUCCCUGAGAUCAGCGGCGGACGGGUGAGUAACACGUGGGUAACCUGCCUGUAAGACUGGGAUAACUCCGGGAAACCGGGGCUAAUACCGGAUAACACCUACCCCCGCAUGGGGGAAGGUUGAAAGGUGGCUUCGGCUAUCACUUACAGAUGGACCCGCGGCGCAUUAGCUAGUUGGUGAGGUAAUGGCUCACCAAGGCGACGAUGCGUAGCCGACCUGAGAGGGUGAUCGGCCACACUGGGACUGAGACACGGCCCAGACUCCUACGGGAGGCAGCAGUAGGGAAUCUUCCGCAAUGGACGAAAGUCUGACGGAGCAACGCCGCGUGAGUGAAGAAGGUUUUCGGAUCGUAAAACUCUGUUGUUAGGGAAGAACAAGUGCCGUUCGAAUAGGGCGGCGCCUUGACGGUACCUAACCAGAAAGCCACGGCUAACUACGUGCCAGCAGCCGCGGUAAUACGUAGGUGGCAAGCGUUGUCCGGAAUUAUUGGGCGUAAAGCGCGCGCAGGUGGUUUCUUAAGUCUGAUGUGAAAGCCCACGGCUCAACCGUGGAGGGUCAUUGGAAACUGGGGAACUUGAGUGCAGAAGAGGAAAGUGGAAUUCCAAGUGUAGCGGUGAAAUGCGUAGAUAUUUGGAGGAACACCAGUGGCGAAGGCGACUUUCUGGUCUGUAACUGACACUGAGG
Molecule: ribosomal RNA, 703 nt
Filed under: Rossellomorea marisflavi
Lineage: Bacteria; Bacillati; Bacillota; Bacilli; Caryophanales; Bacillaceae
Description: bacterial SSU rRNA
Rfam family: Bacterial small subunit ribosomal RNA
Source: RNAcentral